RNAcentral lists this ribosomal RNA (253 nucleotides) under uncultured bacterium. RNAcentral describes it as "partial 16S ribosomal RNA". It matches the Rfam family "Bacterial small subunit ribosomal RNA", at positions 524 to 776 of the family's 1533-position model. The record is from RNAcentral.
UACAGAGGUCUCGAGCGUUAGGCGGAAUCACUGGGCUUAAAGCGUGUGUAGGCGGAUCGUUAAGUACCUUGUGAAAUCCCACGGCUUAACCGUGGAACUGCUUGGUAUACUGGCGGUCUUGAGCCAGCGAGGGGCUACCGGAACAAAUGGUGGAGCGGUGAAAUGCGUAGAUAUCGGGAGGAACAUCAGUGGCGAAGGCGGCUACCUGGCCCAAUACUGACACUCAGGUGCGACAGCGUGGGGAGCAAACAGG